Molecule: long non-coding RNA, 3519 nt
Organism: Leptopilina boulardi
Lineage: Eukaryota; Metazoa; Arthropoda; Insecta; Hymenoptera; Figitidae
Exons: 4
Source: RefSeq, a predicted model, not a curated record
GGGCGAGACGAAAUUGUUUCUAACCUAAGAAAUCAUUGUUCUUUCAUAACUAUUAUACAUAAAAAAAAAUAAUGACAAAACUAAAUAAAAUUCUUGAGUGCAGAAAAAUAGAAGUAUAUAUUUAUAGACAUUAUAAUCAGAAAUACUGCAAUAUGUGUUUAAUUUUUUAAAAAUGAUAUCAAAACAAUUUGUUUUCUUUAACAUUGUGUUUUGUUUACAUCUGUCUGCUACUAGUGAUAUCUAGGGAAUUUUUAAUUUCUGGUUUAACAGCAAGUCAGCUGACAUUUGACAGUUUUCCGACUAUAAACAGUUUAUUAUAAACACUUAUUGAAAUAAAAUACUGUAAUACGACUUAUUAAUUUAUAUUAAAAACUAAAUUGGAAAUUUGAAAUUGAAAAUAUUCGAUCCCUUGUUAUAUACAGAUAUAAAUUUCGAGAGAUCUAUGAAGCUUUGGUAUAUAUAUACAUUCCAUCUAAUUUUAUGUCAGUCAAUUUACGACAUAGCGGAAGUACAGUGAAGACCACAAACACAAAUAAACCGGAAGCAGUUUCGAGAGGAUAGUAUACGCUGCUCAAAAUAAUUAUUCUGCGGUUUCCGAACAAAAGGAUUCAAAGAAAUUUUAAAAAUAAUUUUUCAGUGAAAAUAUCGAGUGAAGUAUAUUAUAUAAAACGAUUCAAAAACAAUAAAAUAAAUAAUUCUUAUCUUUUGAAGGAAUUCAAUUACAAUUCCAGAAGAAAGUAAAUUAGAGAAAUAUUUGUAGAGAAACAAGAAUUUCUAUUAGCAUUCGAAUAUAUAUAACUACAGUGAGAUAAACAAGUUGAAAUAAAAUGGAGUCAGGACGUUAUUGAAUAAGGAACAUUUUCUGCUCGAUGUAUAUAUAAAAGGGUGGCAACCUCGUUUGAUAUUUAAUGAAAAGUGCUUAUUCCCUAUUGUGAGCAUCUCUUUUCAUCUCUCGCACUAUCAGUUAACAUUCUCCCAAGACAAGUCCGGGGCUAUUUUAAAAAUCCCUAGAGUGAAAUUGCUUUUCGCCGGUCGUCGUCGGGUCCUGGACGUCGUUGUCCUUGUCUAGAAAUUGUUAGAAAGGGGUAAGUAACCUCGACAGGAAAUGCAUUGCGCUAUUGCAGCCAGCAGACCGACACUUUAACGCGCCUUUCAAUUACCCUACAUAAAAUUUAAAGUCUCUCUUUCAUAUACAGUGAUUUAAUUAAAGCAAACCCCCUGUGUGUGAAAAAAAAGAAGAAGGAAAACUGAAAAAUAAGAAUGAGAUUUUUUUCAUGUUAUGCUUUUUUUUCAAAUUCCAGUCACAAUCAUGAGUCCGCAGAAUUUCACAAAUUAAAUUCUUUUAUAUAUACCAUUUCUCAGGAAGGAAUUUCAAAAAUUUACUGCAACAUUUUUCACGAGAUAUAUAAAGAAGAAAUUGAAAACAAAUUUUCAUGAAAAAAGGAUCUAAAAAGUGAGGAAUUAGAUGAGAUUAAUUAAAUUAUGAGAUAUGAUGGUUCUCGUUUUUGGAAAAAAAAAAAAAAACCUUUUCUCGUAAAUUCACACCAACGACCACUAUGUCUCCUACGUGCAGUGAAUUUUAUAAGCUAAGACUACGAUAAUGUGGCAUGCUCAAGGAUCUAAAAUCGCACCAGGGAGCUAAGAUUUUUCUUCUAUAUACCUUUCUGAAUACCGAGACAUAUAUGAAAAGCUUUUUCCGCACCUUAACGACAGAGGGAAAACGAAAAAGCCCAUAUUGCAACAUUUUCCAUCACGUUAUAAAAUACAUACACUGAAAAAAAUUUAUUUAAUUCAAAUAAUCGACUUUUAAUUUCUUUGUCUCUAGAAUUUUUUUAUAUUUAAAUUGUUUAUAAAAAAAUAUAACUAAAAAAAAUUUUUUUUUUAAUUAUAUUUUGCUACCAAAAAAAAAAUUGAUUUUUCACCUUUUCUUUAGUAGAAAACUUUAGAAAUAUAGAAGUUAGAUUUUUGUGAAAUUCACUAGAGAUAGAAAGCGCGAGGAUUUACCCUCUCGUGCCUAAAGCUGAAAACGGGGCUUAACUCCGGUGCAUCGUUCGAUCAUACACUCCAAUACACAGAAAGUGGUAUUUACUCUCCGUCCCUUGCUCUUUCAAGUACCUCUUUCUCUUCUAUUUUCCAAGUGAUAUGUUUAAAAUCUCCAAAAAAAACUUCUGUUCUGAUUUUGAGGAGAUGCAAGAGACGAUGCUUCUUAUACGGUUGAUAAAUUUUAUCACCUUCCUGAUGCGGUGUAUAAAACACGAUCGUUCAAAUUAACCUAUUAAAUUUACAUAUAGCAGAAAAGUUUUUUCUUCUACAAAGUUAUAUAAAACGUAACUUUUUAAAGUUUUUGAAAAAUGAAACGAAAAAUACAUAAAAUUUUGUCAUAAGGUGGGUAUUUUUAAAUUUAAAUAAUUUAAAUAAAAAUUAUUUAAAGUAUAAAUAUUUAUUUGAUAAUAGUCGAUUAUUUGAAUAAUAAAUUUAUUUUUCACUAUAAUUUUUUAUGAGACAGUGAACAGAAUUUUUGUAUUUUUUUAAUUUCCACAGAAUUCUCAAAAUUUUAUCGUAUAGAUAUAAAUUUUAUUAAAAUUGUAAAAAGAGAUUUAUUAUUGAUAAAAAAACAGAUAGUGAGUUAAAAGAAUAUAAAGGUACAAUAGUCCAUUUGAGGAGGAGGAGGAGGUAUCAAUUGACCUAAUUCUAAGUUCGCAACAAAUCAGCACUGACCCCGCUGGUCUACCGUCCAUUAUCUAAUUUAACUAUUUAGAGGUGUGCGCAAUGUUCCUUUUGAACAUUUUAACUCAAAGGUUAUAUAAUAGUAUAGAUUAAAAGUUCUCUCUCCUUUUAUUUUGAGUGCUGAUUAAUUACCCUCUUUAAGUAUAUAUAUUUCUCUCUUCUCUCCGCAAAAAAGAAUUUUCUCUCUCGACCUGCCCAGACUGACCAUCCUUUUGGAGGCCCUUCCCCAGAGAUGGUCAUUGCUCUUUUUAACUCUCUUAUAUCAUUGUCACGUAAAAAGGAAAAACUGCACCGGUCGCGUCACAAAUCACAAAGACUUUUCUCAUCUAAUCCCGAGUAACCAGACUUUUACAGAGGUUCCAGAGUACCAAAAAAAAAAAAAAAAUGCUCGCACGCUUCUCAAGUUUACACAUAUUUGAUCCUUUCAUUUAAUUUCAAAUCCUAUCCUUAUAAAAAAAAAAAAAAAAACCCGCGAAUUAUUAUUUGAGAAUUUUUUUUUUAGAAUAAAUUUGUUUAAAUUGUUAAAAAAAUUUUUUCUUUUGCAAAAAGUAAUAUUUGAAUAAUUUUUGUUGAAGUGAAAAGUGAAUAGAUGCAAAAUUGUUACUUUCUACAUUGCGCCAGUUAAUUACUGAAUUUAUUAAGUAUUUUGUAGACUGUGUCGUGUUAAACCGUUGAAUUGGGACUGAAAAUGAUAUUCAUGGUUUCUGACCAUGACAACCCUUUAUAUUGUACAGGGAAAUACAUAUAUGUUUGAAGAUUAAUGUUUCGGGCCAGAGUCGUCCAGUUUUCCUU